Molecule: ribosomal RNA, 659 nt
Filed under: uncultured fungus
Lineage: Eukaryota; Fungi
Description: eukaryotic LSU rRNA
Rfam family: Eukaryotic large subunit ribosomal RNA
Source: RNAcentral
CCCGCUGAACUUAAGCAUAUCAAUAAGCGGAGGAAAAGAAACUAACAAGGAUUCCCCUAGUAACUGCGAGUGAAGCGGGAAAAGCUCAAAUUUAAAAUCUGGCGGUUCUUGCGUCCGAGUUGUAAUUUAGAGAAGUGCUAUCCGCGCUGGACCGUGUACAAGUCUCCUGGAAUGGAGCGUCAUAGAGGGUGAGAAUCCCGUCUUUGACACGGACUACCAGGGCUUAUGUGAUGUGCUCUCGAAGAGUCGAGUUGUUUGGGAAUGCAGCUCAAAAUGGGUGGUAAAUUCCAUCUAAAGCUAAAUAUUGGCGAGAGACCGAUAGCGAACAAGUACCGUGAGGGAAAGAUGAAAAGAACUUUGGAAAGAGAGUUAAACAGUACGUGAAAUUGUUGAAAGGGAAACGCUUGAAGUCAGUCGCGUCGUCCGGGGAUCAACCUUGCGAUUUUGCUAGGGCGCAUUUUCCGGUUGACGGGUCAACAUCAAUUUUGACCGUUGGAUAAAGGCUUUGGGAAUGUGGCAUCUUCGGAUGUGUUAUAGCCCGUGGUCGCAUACAACGGUUGGGAUUGAGGAACUCAGCACGCCGAAAGGCCGGGUUUUUAACCACGUUCGUGCUUAGGAUGUUGGCAUAAUGGCUUUAAUCGACCCGUCUUGAAACACGG